GCCCUUAGAGUUUGAUCCUGGCUCAGGAUGAACGCUGGCGGCGUGCUUAACACAUGCAAGUCGAACGAACCUUCGGGUUAGUGGCGGACGGGUGAGUAACGCGUGAGAAUCUGCCCUCAGGAGGGGGACAACAGCUGGAAACGGCUGCUAAUACCCCAUAUGCCGCGAGGUGAAAUGAAUUUCGCCUGAGGAUGAGCUCGCGUCUGAUUAGCUAGUUGGUGUAGGUAAUAGCUCACCAAGGCAUCGAUCAGUAGCUGGUCUGAGAGGAUGAUCAGCCACACUGGGACUGAGACACGGCCCAGACUCCUACGGGAGGCAGCAGUGGGGAAUUUUCCGCAAUGGGCGAAAGCCUGACGGAGCAACGCCGCGUGAGGGAUGAAGGCCUCUGGGCUGUAAACCUCUUUUAUCAAGGAAGAAGAUCUGACGGUACUUGAUGAAUAAGCCACGGCUAAUUCCGUGCCAGCAGCCGCGGUAAUACGGGAGUGGCAAGCGUUAUCCGGAAUUAUUGGGCGUAAAGCGUCCGCAGGCGGCCCUUCAAGUCUGCUGUUAAAAAGUGGAGCUUAACUCCAUCAUGGCAGCGGAAACUGUUGGGCUUGAGUGUGGUAGGGGCAGAGGGGAAUUCCCGGUGUAGCGGUGAAAAUGCGUAGAUAUCGGG
This 655-nucleotide ribosomal RNA is filed under the name uncultured Synechococcus sp. Its description in RNAcentral is "bacterial SSU rRNA". It matches the Rfam family "Bacterial small subunit ribosomal RNA", at positions 1 to 701 of the family's 1533-position model. The record is from RNAcentral. Lineage: Bacteria; Bacillati; Cyanobacteriota; Cyanophyceae; Synechococcales; Synechococcaceae.